AACGCGAAGAACCUUACCUGGGCUCGAACGGCUUUGGAAACUCCUUGGAAACAGGGAUUUCCCGCAAGGGACCGGAGUCGAGGUGCUGCAUGGCUGUCGUCAGCUCGUGUCGUGAGAUGUUGGGUUAAGUCCCGCAACGAGCGCAACCCUUGUCCUGUGUUGCCACUCCCCUUAAAAGGAAGCACUCGCAGGAGACCGCCAGCGAUAAGCUGGAGGAAGGUGGGGAUGAUGUCAAGUCAUCAUGGCCUUUAUGUCCAGGGCUACACACGUGCUACAAUGGCCGGUACAAAGCGCUGCAAACCCGCGAGGGGAAGCUAAUCGCAAAAAACCGGUCUCAGUUCGGAUCGCAGGCUGCAACUCGCCUGCGUGAAGCUGGAAUCGCUAGUAAUGGCGUAUCAGAACGAUGCCGUGAAUACGUUCCCGGGCCUUGUA
RNAcentral lists this ribosomal RNA (432 nucleotides) under uncultured Acidobacterium sp. RNAcentral's name for it is "bacterial SSU rRNA". It matches the Rfam family "Bacterial small subunit ribosomal RNA", at positions 958 to 1385 of the family's 1533-position model. The record is from RNAcentral. Lineage: Bacteria; Pseudomonadati; Acidobacteriota; Terriglobia; Terriglobales; Acidobacteriaceae.